Molecule: ribosomal RNA, 301 nt
Filed under: uncultured bacterium
Lineage: Bacteria
Description: partial 16S ribosomal RNA
Rfam family: Bacterial small subunit ribosomal RNA
Source: RNAcentral
CAGCAGCCGCGGUAAUACAGAGGGUGCGAGCGUUAAUCGGAUUUACUGGGCGUAAAGCGUGCGUAGGCGGCUUCUUAAGUCGGAUGUGAAAUCCAUGAGCUUAACUUAGGAAUUGCAUUCGAUACUGGGAAGCUAGAGUAUGGGAGAGGAUGGUAGAAUUCCAGGUGUAGCGGUGAAAUGCGUAGAGAUCUGGAGGAAUACCGAUGGCGAAGGCAGCCAUCUGGCCUAAUACUGACGCUGAGGUACGAAAGCAUGGGGAGCAAACAGGAUUAGAUACCCGAGUAGUCCCUGUCUCUUAUAA